This 497-nucleotide ribosomal RNA is filed under the name uncultured bacterium. Its description in RNAcentral is "partial 16S ribosomal RNA". It matches the Rfam family "Bacterial small subunit ribosomal RNA", at positions 28 to 507 of the family's 1533-position model. The record is from RNAcentral.
GAUGAACGCUGGCGGCGUGCCUAAUACAUGCAAGUCGAGCGAACAGACGAGGAGCUUGCUCCUCUGACGUUAGCGGCGGACGGGUGAGUAACACGUGGAUAACCUACCUAUAAGACUGGGAUAACUUCGGGAAACCGGAGCUAAUACCGGAUAACAUGUUGAACCGCAUGGUUCAACAGUGAAAGACGGUCUUGCUGUCACUUAUAGAUGGAUCCGCGCCGCAUUAGCUAGUUGGUAAGGUAACGGCUUACCAAGGCAACGAUGCGUAGCCGACCUGAGAGGGUGAUCGGCCACACUGGAACUGAGACACGGUCCAGACUCCUACGGGAGGCAGCAGUAGGGAAUCUUCCGCAAUGGGCGAAAGCCUGACGGAGCAACGCCGCGUGAGUGAAGAAGGUCUUCGGAUCGUAAAACUCUGUUAAUAGGGAAGAACAAAUGUGUAAGUAACUAUGCACGUCUUGACGGUACCUAAUCAGAAAGCCACGGCUAACUACGUG